AACGAACGCUGGCGGCAUGCCUAACACAUGCAAGUCGAACGAACCCUUCGGGGUUAGUGGCGCACGGGUGCGUAACGCGUGGGAAUCUGCCCUUUGCUUCGGAAUAACUCAGGGAAACUUGUGCUAAUACCGGAUGAUGUCUUCGGACCAAAGAUUUAUCGGCACGGGAUGAGCCCGCGUAGGAUUAGGUAGUUGGUGGGGUAAAGGCCUACCAAGCCGACGAUCCUUAGCUGGUCUGAGAGGAUGAUCAGCCACACUGGGACUGAGACACGGCCCAGACUCCUACGGGAGGCAGCAGUGGGGAAUAUUGGACAAUGGGCGCAAGCCUGAUCCAGCAAGGCCGCGUGAGUGAUGAAGGCCCUCGGGUCGUAAAGCUCUUUUACCAGGGAUGAUAAUGACAGUACCUGGAGAAUAAGCUCCGGCUAACUCCGUG
This 433-nucleotide ribosomal RNA is filed under the name uncultured bacterium. Its description in RNAcentral is "partial 16S ribosomal RNA". It matches the Rfam family "Bacterial small subunit ribosomal RNA", at positions 29 to 507 of the family's 1533-position model. The record is from RNAcentral.